This 1275-nucleotide long non-coding RNA is filed under the name Oryctolagus cuniculus (rabbit). Its description in RNAcentral is "lncRNA (ENSOCUG00000031176.1)". The record is from RNAcentral. Lineage: Eukaryota; Metazoa; Chordata; Mammalia; Lagomorpha; Leporidae.
AUGCUUUGCUUGUUCCUAUUUUUUGCCUUUUACUGUAGGUGUGUAUCUGUUGUGUACUUCUUAAUAAAUGAAGGAGGAGAGGAGCCUUACAAAUGGAAGCACUGUGCUAUGCGUAGUCCCCACCUCACACCCCAGGGAGUCACUGCCCCUCCCCUUGACGGGAGAAUUGUCUCUACACUGGGGACAGCCGGCGCGAGGCGGUCGGAACUGCAGGGCUCCACGUCCUUUGAAAGUGGGUGCUGCGGCCUUCCCAAGCCCGCUGGCCUGGCACCCAGCCCCCUCCCCAUCUUCACGUCUUUGGUGACACAGCAACGCUGUCCCGGGAACGCCCAUUCCUGCUGCUGCCACCCCACGCAGGGCUGUGGAAGAAUCCCAGGCGAAAGCUCGCAAAAUCAGAAUCUGUCUGACGUUUGUUUUAGGAGGGCUUACUCAAAAUUAGACAAGGGCUGGGCAGUUGAAAUAUACCCAGGCCUCUUUCUCAAGAUCAUUGUUUUUCUGGAGGAAAAAAAAUCUGCUCCUUGCUCCAUCUCAUUUUCCUGUUUGCUUUCCAGCUCCACGGAGCUUAUUCUGGGCGCGUCACUUCGACUGAGCUGCUCUCUUGGUGGAGUUUCCUAUCCACUGGUCUGCAGACUGCGGGAGGCGGGCAGUUUCCCCGGGGCCCCUUCUCGUCUGCUGGCUGGGUCGGGCCCCACAGUCCUCCCCGCGUCCCCUCCUGACCAGCUGUGCUGUGAGCUCACACCUGCUCACAAACAAAAGAGUCGAGAGGCUGUGAUGUGGAUGAAGUGGCCCUGUAGGCGUGAGUGCUGGCGUGAGUGGAGAGAGGGCGCCAUCACAGACGGGAAGGGCCAUUCUCCCGCUCAGGACACCCCCACUCUCCGUCCCCCAUGCACCCAUCUCACGUGUGGAAUCUGUAUAAUGAAGAACUCGUGGCCGGUGCCGCGGCUCACUAGGCUAAUCCUCUGCCUUGCGGCGCCGGCACACCGGGUUCUAGUCCCGGUUGGGGCGCCGGAUUCUGUCCCGGUUGCCCCUCUUCCAGGCCAGCUCUCUGCUGUGGCCAGGGAGUGCAGUGGAGGAUGGCCCAAGUGCUUGGGCCCUGCACCCCAUGGGAGACCAGGAGAAGCACCUGGCUCCUGCCUUUGGAUCAGCGGCAGCGGCCAUUGGAGGGUGAACCCACGGCAAAGGAAGAUCUUUCUCUCUGUCUCUCUCUCUCACUGUCCACUCUGCCUGUCAAAAACAAACAAAAAACAAACAAAAAAACUCACGUCGGGAUCCUGA